CCUACUGGCAGCUCUAAACCUUCCAUUUCUGGAUUGAAUGAACAUUACAGGGACUUCAGUGAACAAUUUGACACUAUGACUAGCUAUACACAGACCCUAUUACAUUUAGAGCAUAUCAUCAACAGGUAAAAGGGGCAUGGCUUCUGCUGACUGACAGACCUUACUAUAAACCUUUUGAUUGGGAAAUCAGAGUACAUCAAGGCUUUUAGAAGAAAACAUAUGCUGUCACCUAACUGGGAAUGCCCUUGCAAAGUACCACUGACCACCUACACUGCUAUCAAAAUAAAAGAAAAAUCCUCCUGGAUUCGUGCAAGUCAAGCCAAACCAGACCCAGAUUACCACUCCCAGGGCAACUGGAAGACCAUCCCUACAGAUCUCUUGCCACUCAGCUAGUAACCCAGUUUUUCUCUCCACCGCCACCUGCUCAGCUUUUAAUGUAUGAAACUUCUAGGGAAGUUUCAGAUGGGAGAAAUAAAGGAGUUAAAAACAUGCUGCCUCAAAAUAUGCUCCUCUGGCAUAUUGACUAUUAUGAAAUAAAGGUACUUGAAAAACA
Molecule: long non-coding RNA, 553 nt
Organism: Pan troglodytes (chimpanzee)
Lineage: Eukaryota; Metazoa; Chordata; Mammalia; Primates; Hominidae
Exons: 2
Source: RefSeq, a predicted model, not a curated record